This 352-nucleotide unclassified non-coding RNA is filed under the name soil metagenome. RNAcentral's name for it is "partial contains 5.8S ribosomal RNA, internal transcribed spacer 2, and large subunit ribosomal RNA". The stretch from base 1 to 120 matches the Rfam family "5.8S ribosomal RNA", at positions 35 to 154 of the family's 154-position model. The record is from RNAcentral.
GAUGAAGAAGGUAGCGAAAUGCGAUAAGUAAUGUGAAUUGCAGAAUUCAGUGAAUCAUCGAAUCUUUGAACGCACAUUGCGCCCGCCAGUAUUCUGGCGGGCAUGCCUGUUCGAGCGUCAUUACAACCCUCAGGCCCCCGGGCCUGGCGUUGGGGAUCGGCGGAGCCCCCCGUGGGCACACGCCGUCCCCCAAAUACAGUGGCGGUCCCGCCGCAGCUUCCAUCGCGUAGUAGCUAACACCUCGCGACUGGAGAGCGGCGCGGCCACGCCGUAAAACACCCAACUCUUCUGAAGUUGACCUCGAAUCAGGUAGGAAUACCCGCUGAACUUAAGCAUAUCAAUAAGCGGAGGA